AUGUUGUUGACGUCACCGUCGAAGUUGAUCCCAAUCAAAUCCAAGUCAAACUUUUCAACAUAUGGAGCUUCGACGAUGAUUAAUAUAGAAAGUUUCAACAUGAUUUGCAAUUUAUUUUCAUUAUUUAUACUUACUUUUUAUUCUUGUAAUUAUUUUUCAUGUUGUUGUAAAUUUAUUCGUUACAUAUUAGAAUUGAAUUCUUCAUGCUCCGAUAAUUAA
This is a non-coding RNA of Vicia faba (fava bean), 219 nucleotides long. Lineage: Eukaryota; Viridiplantae; Streptophyta; Magnoliopsida; Fabales; Fabaceae. The record is from the annotation of a GenBank genome assembly.